GAUGAAAGAUACACUUUCUCUGUGUAUUUCUAUUGAAUCGAUUAUUACUUGGCCAAUGAGCCCUUGAGAAUCUCUCUGUACUUCACUUUCCGAAUCUCGUGUUCACACCUUUAUGGUCUAGGGACUGCAGAUGAAAUAUGCAAUUUAUAUUUUCUGAGGAUUUCAGAACCGAAGGGCAAGGAAGGUCAGUUUGAAGUGUAUUUGUCUACUAUAUUUAUCAAAGAAUGUCAUGCUUUAUUAGUCCUAAUUGGCUUUUCCUCUUUGCAGAUAUUUUGAUAAUUGGAAAAAAAGUGAUGUACAGACAUUGCAGAAUCUUUUGGGCCUCUCCAACGAUUACAUAAUGGUGAAGAUCAAUGGUGUUGGACUGUCUGACAAGGUAUUAUUCACUGUGAAGAGCUUCUAGAGUCAUCUGAACACAGAGAGAAGGGCCCCAAAUACAGUGACAACCCCCUACCCUCAUAAGUCAUAACCUGGUCUGGACAGUACUGAUGCCCUCAAAGGUCAAAUUCUUCUUUUGGUGUGCACUGCAAGGCCGUAUCCAGACCCUAGAUCAUUUGAUUCACAGAGGUAUGCAACUUCAAAAUCUCUGCCCUCUCUGCAAACUCCACCCAGAGACCAUCUCUCACCUCCUUCAUACACUGUGUGGUGUGGUCUCUCAGUCCAUCUGGAUCGAUCUUGUAGACUUUGAUGUUGACAGUGAGGACAUGUUAAACAGAGCCUCGAACCUGGAAGUGCUGCAUCGUCGGCCUAAUGACAACCCCAACUCGACAUCUAUAGGGGCUAAACUAUCGCCCUUAUUACCAUAAUGUUGUGAUCUGGUCAAUCUGGCUCACUAGGAAUGACAAGGGUUUCAGACUUCUUGAUCCCAAUCUGUCCAAGUUAUGUAGAAACAUCAAAGCUCUGUCGUGGUUUUAGAUUGUUGGGUCAGCAAGACACAAAGACUACACUUUUGGAGACGUGAUACGGCAUUGGGAAAUCCUUCUUCUACCUUAGACUUUCAUUACUGGCACCUGCCUGGUUGCUGCUCUUGUUGGGUGUUGAUCUUCUUGUAUAUUCUUUUUGUCUAUCACCUGGGCUGUGAACAACUGCCAGUGAACUACUCAAUCGCUGAAUUGUUCCUAAAGCUCUUGUAAUCCUUUUUAGAUAAUCAAUAAAAAUUUACAAUUUAUCUAAAAAAAAAAUUAUAUUUUGAUUUGACACCUGUCACAUUAGAAGCUGAGGAAGUGUUACUAACCAUCUGUUUAACUUAGUCCUUCUUAUAAGAUGUCUUAUUUGUAGGGCAGAGAUCAAAGACCAGCCCAGACAUGUUACUGGUAGCUUGUACAAGAGAUUUUGGAACCGACUUAGAUAAAGCUACUAAUGAACUCGUCCACAGCGUACAACCUGACAAAAUUAUAUCUCACGAUCAACAACAAGGUUUCAGAUCUUGGAAUUAUUUGGAUCACAGUGACCUUAAUCUGCUUUAUAAAACAAGGUGAAAAAGCGUUUGCUUUUGUUUAAACAUGCUUUGGUUACUAAAAUGAGUAAUCGUGUUUUGUAGUAUAAAUGUUUAAUACUAGUUAUAACCCGUGCCUACGGCACGAUUAUUUUAAUUUUGAUUUGAAUUUUUUUUUUUUUUUUUCAAAAAUUAUUGAAACGAAUACAAUUAGAUGGUAUUUUAUUUUUCAUAAUAAAAGUAGGUGGUACAAUAGUAUUUUAUUUUUAUUUUUUUGGAUCCAUAAUUGUCAUACUAAUUUUUUAUGCAAUAAUAGGCGAUACAAUUGUUUUCACAGGGAAAAAAAAAACAGACCCCUUUAAGUUACAAUAAUGCAAGAUUGGCCCAGUUAGGGAACCUUGUGCAAAAAAGACCCCAACGUUAAUUACGUAUCCUUUUGGACUAAUAUACCCCUAUCCUCUCCGACACACUUUCUUUGUUUCUUUCUUCUUUCCUCAUCAACCAUAUUCUCUCUCCUCCUUCACGUGACAAAAACAUAUCCAAGGGUUUAGCAAUACAAUUACCAUGACAGUUUAUAAUUAAAUUAUAAGUUUUGAUUUUACAACAAAAGGGAUUAUAAAGAAGAAUUUGUAAUUUGAUAUGAGGUUGGUUAGAAUUCCAACAAUUUCUUCUGUCAAUUCUAAUCAGACUUGAGAACAAGUUGUUUUGGUUUUGUUCUUGUUAAUCUUCAAUUUAUCAUUACACCAUGGAUCUUAUUCAACGAUUCCUAACAAAAGUGGAAGAGUAAGAAGAGAAGAAAUUAUCAAACGUUCUCCCACGACUUAUUAUGAUUAAUAUACUCCAAGAUUAUACUUUUAGUUUGUAUUAUACUCAGCAAAGGAUACAAAUUUUAGUCGUGUCGUCUUAGCAACUGAAAUAUUGAACAAAAACUUAAGAGUUUAGUAACCAUGGAAUCAAAAUUUUGGUUAAUUUUUUUUUUAAUCAUACUUCUAUAUUCGUCAUCUACUUCAUUGAAUUGUUACGAAAAUUGAUUUUUCUAUAGAUUUGAGAGGAUAAAUAAAGAAGAGAGAGGUGAUCGAGGUGAAACCCGGUUCUUGUUGAACGGAGUUUACGGCGGAGCAGAAGCAGAAAAAACAAAUACCACUUGGAGUGAUACAUUUGAGUCUUCUUUGAAUUUGAAUAAUCCUUGUGAUACAUACCCCUAGCACCAGUUUCAUUCACUUGUUGUAGACAUAUUCAUCUCAUCUACCCUCUCAUACUCUACCACAUCAUGAUCUAUCUAACUCAUUUAUCAUUAAACUAAACAAAUACCACUUGGACUGAUGCAAAAACUUAUUUGCAUCAAUCACAAACAUAUAAAUAGACUUGUUUGUAAGUUACGACACAUAAACAUAAAAUGCAAAGACUUGUUUGCAUACUCGCAACAACAACCACAUAAAUCAUAAAAUGUAAAAAAAUUGUUUGCAUCGGUCACAACACAUAUAAACAUUAAAUGCAAAGACUUGUUUGCAUACUCGCAACAACAACCAUGUAAACCAUAAAAAUCUAAAGACUGGUUUGCAUCAAUCACAACACACAUAAACAUAAAAUGCAAAGACUUAUUUGUAUACUCGCAACAACAACCACAUAAACCAUAAAAUGCAAAGACUUGUUUGCAUAAACCAGAAGGGUAUUAUCGGUAGUGAAAGGGCCGUUUUUACAAUUUCAACGUUAAAUAGGUACUUUCUUAUCCUAUAAAUGCUUAAUCAGGGCUAAUAUUAUAAACCGGGCCUUAGCUGGUCCAUUUGUGUUUUGUGGACUCUUAAUGAGGUCCUAGAACCAUUUCCAUGAUUGUUUUCAUAGAUAUUUUAUCUUUAAGAUAUUAUUUUAAUUUUAUUUUAAAAAUUAUUGAAGUAAAUUAUUGUAAAAUAAUAAUGAUUUUAUUAGGGGCUAUUCCUUGAUAUAAUUUUAAAAUUUUGAUAGAAAUGUGCAAAAAAAUUGUUCAGAAAACUAUUAUAUAUAAGUUUUUGUAGUGAGGUAUAUGAAUAUUUGGAUACCUUUGUAACAAUUUACUAAGUGUUUUUCCAGUUACAACAUCUGAAGUUUAAAAAAGUUGCAAAGUCAAACUACUUUGAAGGGUUAAGUUGAAUCUAACCGAUAACUUUUUUGAGAUCACACGCCAUUUUAAGUUUGGAUCAUUUGACAUAAUAGUUGUUUAAUUUGAUAUAGAUAAUGUAUAAUUUUGUACAACAUUUUCAUUUAUGCAUCAAGUACAACUUUUUAUGUAAAAAGAUACAUCUUAUACAAAUCAAAUGUAAGAAGUUGAAAAGGUGAAAAAGGCAUUAGGCGUAACAAUUAAAAAAAGUCGAAUACAAUGGCUAUGUUUUAUCACUACCAAUAGAACAAUUUAUUAUGUGUCCGUUUGUACUUUAGCCACCCAACCGUAUUUCCUUCUCCUGUUAUGCAUAGAAGAGGUGAAAAUGUAUGUUGAAAAGAGAUUGAGGAGAAAGAUAAUAUACCAGUAUCUUCACCCCAUUAUUAUGAGAAAUAUAAUGUAGCUAUUGAUAAUAGACUGAAGGAAGAGAGUGACAUGUGACCAUUCCUAUAAAAAGAUUACUAAGGUGCAUAACUAUAUAUGCAUAGCUCAUGUCUGUUGAAUCUAAUGAUAAUAGAUUAAGGAAAAAGAUUGACUCGUGAUCAUUCUCACAAAAAGAUUACUAAGGUGCAUGUUGAAUAUAUAACAAAGAGAUCAACAACCAAUAAAACAACAAAAUUGAUAUUUAAAUUACUGGAACAACCAAUAUACUCAAGGUGUUCAAUCAAAAACUAUACAGUCUCCAAAUUAAUUUGAUAGAACAACCAUAUACUUUUUCAGAAUAAGCAAGGAAUCUAUUCCUGAAAAUCUACAAAGAAAAAAAAAGAAAAGAAAAAAUGACUCACCUUAAUAAAAUAGUGGUAAAAAGCUACUACGUCACAUACAUAUAUAGUUCUGAGCUGAGCAAAAUAAACUUUGAAGAAAACUAAUGAAGGAUAAUACAGUAGCUGCAUUGCUAAGUAUGAAAGAAAAGGGAGAGGACAUCAUGAGAAACUACAUUCAAGCAAUCGAGAAUACCGAAGCAAUUUUUGACAUAAAGAUAACUGUAAAGAAUAGGAAAUUUCCAAAAGGAUAUCUUACAUGCACAGACAUCACAUUCGAAGGGCAAGUAAAAGAAGGUACAACAAAAGACAACAUACAAAAGGUAAGACCUCAACCCACCCCCACAAAAAAUCAAAAAUAUAUAUAUAGUCAAUAAGAUCAAACUAUGAAAUUAAUUUUUUUUUAUUAUUUAAUAUAUUGCAGAAAAACUUUGUCCCAGCAACACCCAAGAAACACUCUCGGGAAGAAAUAGUCGACAUUGACAAACUUCCACAGAAAGAUUAUACUAAGAAGAUAUGCAUUAAGCAAGAACCAGAGGUAAGAAUAUUCAGACAAAGAAAAACAAUAAACAAAAUUAUAAAUCAUAAAUUAAAUUUUACAUUACUAAUUUCCCUUCAUUUUUAUAUGCAGGAUUCCGACUAAAGGGGAAAAUGGAAUGCACCUAAGAAACAAGCUUUGCUACUAUAACGUCGUUUCACAACUUUAUUUAUAUUUAUCACUCUAUUUUUAUUAAUCAGAUUUUUAUAUUGAUAAGAUACUUUUGAAUUUUUUUUUUAACUUCAUAUUUAGAUCUCAUAAAUAUUUAACUAUUAAGAUAUGCAAUUGUUUUGAUUUCCUACCUACCUAUCUCUGUUAUAUCUCUGAUUAAAUUUUUUUAUUCAAAAUCCAAUCAAAUAACUUAAAUGGGAGGAUCUAACUUUUUGAACAGAUCUACCAAAUGAAAACAGAAUCAGAGAGAGAGAGAGAGAGAAGAGACCUGGGAAGUUUGAAGAUUAGAAUCUGAUGAUGAUAAUAAGAUUAUUGUUGAUUGAUAUGCAAAGGGAUUCAUUCUGCAAUUCCUCCUCCAUUGUAAAUGCCAAACCUAAACCUUGCUCUAGAUCUGAAUUAUUACAUCAACUGGGCUUUCCAAACAUAAUAAAAAACAAACAACAAAAAGCCCAAAACAAAAA
This 5500-nucleotide long non-coding RNA is filed under the name Aquilegia coerulea. RNAcentral describes it as "long non-coding RNA (ACOE_LNC001419)". Lineage: Eukaryota; Viridiplantae; Streptophyta; Magnoliopsida; Ranunculales; Ranunculaceae. The record is from RNAcentral.